This 1341-nucleotide ribosomal RNA is filed under the name Aedes japonicus. RNAcentral's name for it is "16S ribosomal RNA". The stretch from base 892 to 1259 matches the Rfam family "Bacterial large subunit ribosomal RNA", at positions 2072 to 2648 of the family's 2925-position model. Lineage: Eukaryota; Metazoa; Arthropoda; Insecta; Diptera; Culicidae. The record is from RNAcentral.
UUAAUUUUUAUUUAUUAAUUUUUUAUAUUGUUUAAUUUUAUUUAAUAAAAAUAAUUUUUUUAUUUUUUGUUAUAGUAUUUUUUAAAGAAAAAAUAAUUUUAAUAAUAGUUUAUUAGUAUUGUAAAAGAAAAUUGAAAUAAUUUGAAAAAUUUUUAUUUUAAAAGAAAAUUUAAUUUAUUGUACCUUGUGUAUCAGGGUUUAUUAAUUAAUUAAUUAUUAUAUUAAUUUUUCUCGAAUUUUAAAGAUUUAAUUAUAUAUAAAAGUUAAUGUAGCAUAAUUAUUUUAAAUAUAUAAUUAGAAAUGAAAUGUUAAUCGUUUUAAAAUAUAUCUAGUUUUUUAAGAAAUAAAUUUAAUUUAGAUUUAUAAAUUAAAAAUUUUAUUUUUUUUUAAUUUUUUUAUUUUAUAAAAUUAAUAUUUUAAGGGAUUAGCUUUAAAAUAAAGUUUUAAAUUUAAAAUAAAAUAUUUAAAUAAAUGUAAGCUUAAAAAUAGUUAUCAUUAAUAAAUUUGUUAUAAUUUAUUUUAAAUUUUUUAUUAUUUAUUGUUAAAUUAAAUUAUUUAUUAAAAUAUAAAUUUUAAUUAUAUAAAUUUAUUAAUUAUGAUAAAAUUAGUAUACAGAAUUUAUUUAAGUUAUUUUAAUUGAAAGGUUUAAAUAAGGAAUUCGGCAAAUUAUAAUAUAUUCACCUGUUUAUCAAAAACAUGUCUUUUUGAGUUUAAUUUAAAGUCUAACCUGCCCACUGAUAGUAUUAAAGGGCCGCAGUAUUUUGACUGUGCGAAGGUAGCAUAAUCAAUAGUCUUUUAAUUGGAGGCUUGUAUGAAUGGUUGAAUGAGAUAUAUACUGUCUUUUUUAAAUUUUUAUAGAAUUUUAUUUUUUAAUUAAAAAGUUAAAAUGUAGUUAAAGGACGAGAAGACCCUAUAGAUCUUUAUUUUUUUUAAUUAUAAAUUAAAAAGAAUAAUUAAAUUUAUAAUUUAAUAAAAAAUUUUGCUGGGGUGGUAUUAAAAUUUAAAUAACUUUUAUAAUUUAUUUACAUUAAUAUAUGAAUAAUUGAUCCAGUUUUAUUGAUUAAAAAAUUAAGUUACCUUAGGGAUAACAGCGUAAUUUUUUUUUAGAGUUCAUAUCGACAAAAAAGAUUGCGACCUCGAUGUUGGAUUAAGAGUUAUUUUUAGGUGUAGAAGUUUAAAGUUUAGGUCUGUUCGACCUUUGAAUUCUUACAUGAUCUGAGUUCAAACCGGCGUGAGCCAGGUUGGUUUCUAUCCUUAAUAAAAUUAUUAUAUUAUAGUACGAAAGGACCUAGUAUAAAAAAUAUAGAUUUUAAAGUUAUGAAUAAUAUUAAUAUUUAAUAA